RNAcentral lists this ribosomal RNA (111 nucleotides) under Escherichia coli. The record is from RNAcentral. Lineage: Bacteria; Pseudomonadati; Pseudomonadota; Gammaproteobacteria; Enterobacterales; Enterobacteriaceae.
CCUGAGAAUUGCGGUGGUCCCACCUGACCCCAUGCCGAACUCAGAAGUGAAACGCCGUAGCGCCGAUGGUAGUGUGGGGUCUCCCCAUGCGAGAGUAGGGAACUGCCAGGC